GCGACCCCAGGUCAGGCGGGACUGCCCGCU
This 30-nucleotide ribosomal RNA is filed under the name Secale cereale subsp. ancestrale. RNAcentral describes it as "26S ribosomal RNA". The record is from RNAcentral. Lineage: Eukaryota; Viridiplantae; Streptophyta; Magnoliopsida; Poales; Poaceae.